Manduca sexta (tobacco hornworm) is the source of this 261-nucleotide long non-coding RNA. RefSeq lists it as uncharacterized. NCBI's taxonomy places the organism in Eukaryota, Metazoa, Arthropoda, Insecta, Lepidoptera, Sphingidae. The transcript is spliced from 2 exons. The record is from RefSeq and is a predicted model, not a curated record.
UUGACUACUAAUAUCUCCCCAGGUGAACGCUGUAGAUAUUAUCGAGUGGGUGAAGAACCCCGUGCCAGUGAACGAUUACAGAUCAAGACCGUGCAAGACUGUGCCUCUCACUAUGUGCACGGCGAGGACCUGUGGACCUCUUGUAGGACCCCACAACCAGGUGAGCUACUUGAUUCCGACCUGCAAUGUCUGCCCUGCCAACUACCCCUGGGUGGGUAACCCAUUAGGACGUUAAUAUAACUAUUAAAAGCUUUCCAUAUG